This is a long non-coding RNA of Ruditapes philippinarum (Manila clam), 897 nucleotides long. RefSeq lists it as uncharacterized. The record is from RefSeq and is a predicted model, not a curated record. The transcript has 4 exons. Lineage: Eukaryota; Metazoa; Mollusca; Bivalvia; Venerida; Veneridae.
CCCAGCAGGCACUCGACGUUGUUUCAACGUUGAAACAACGUUGAAAUAUUGUCGUGACGUUGUUCAACCAAUAUUCAACUAUGGACGACCAUACGGAUAUAUUGCCAAUGUAUAUACAACGUUGAUUCAACGUUGUUUAUGGUCGAAGUUUUACAUUUAGUUUAAUCAUUAUAUAAACUUUUAUACCACUAAUGUUGUGAUAUUAUUCCUUUAUUGAAUUAGUCUGUAAGUGAUUUUUGUCAGGAAAAUUUGCGUUACAAUCUUUUUCCGUAUAUUCAAAAAAUAUUAAACAAAUAAAGUUGGAAAUAAUUUUUCACUUUCUAUAAACGCUUUAAAUAUUAGUUAAUAUGUUUUGUUGUUUGUUGUUUUAUUUUUUAGUUCUUUAUGAAUAAUAUUAAUUAAUAAAUUUAUAUUAGUCAAAACCCCGUUUAUAAGAUAACGCUGGUCAGGGGAAGUAAUUGUUGCGGUCUUUGAUUUUGUUUGUUGUCUAUGAUUAUCGUUCGUGCAAAUGGUGGCGCUGUUUGGAAAAUUUGAAAACAACACGAUUGGCAAUUUAUUUGGAUUUCGAAGAUCCUGGUCCUGGCUGAAAUUUAGAGCUGUAGCCUGUAUACCAUACAUUCAAAAUGAAAGGGACUGUCAGGAUGCUGCAUAAAAUGGUCUUAGCUAGAGCUUAGAAUGUUAAUUUCUUGGGAAUGCUGCAAGGAACUGACGGGGAGCAGUUUUACAAAUCAUAGAAGCAGUAAGGGACAGCCAAAGAAGUACUCGAACACUUGACAUACCCAGAAAGAUCUAGAAGAAAAGAUUGGAACAGAUUGUAGCUUAAUUGUUAAAACUAUUAAAGUGAAUUUUAGCUGCACUUAAACUGUAUUUUUGAAAUAAAAUAUCUGAAGUAUUUAA